UACGGAGGAUCCGAGCGUUAUCCGGAUUUAUUGGGUUUAAAGGGUGCGUAGGCGGAUUGGUAAGUCAGUGGUGAAAACCUGCAGCUUAACUGCAGAAUUGCCGUUGAUACUAUCAGUCUUGAGUACAGUUGGAGUGGAUGGAAUUUGUCAUGUAGCGGUGAAAUGCUUAGAUAUGACAAAGAACACCGAUCGCGAAGGCAGUUCACUAAACUGUAACUGACGCUGAGGCACGAAAGCGUGGGGAU
This 245-nucleotide ribosomal RNA is filed under the name uncultured bacterium. RNAcentral's name for it is "partial 16S ribosomal RNA". It matches the Rfam family "Bacterial small subunit ribosomal RNA", at positions 524 to 768 of the family's 1533-position model. The record is from RNAcentral.